This 564-nucleotide long non-coding RNA is filed under the name Ananas comosus (pineapple). Its description in RNAcentral is "long non-coding RNA (ACOM_LNC019187)". The record is from RNAcentral. Lineage: Eukaryota; Viridiplantae; Streptophyta; Magnoliopsida; Poales; Bromeliaceae.
GUGAAAAGCAUAUUCUAUCACUACAACAAAAACGGUCUAUAGCGACACUUUUAAAUGUAGGUACAUGUCAAAAAAGUACUGCUAGUUAAAAUUACCGACACUUUUAAAAAGUGUUGCUAUAUGUGGGGUCGCUAGGUAUAUAGUGACAGCUAAAAAGUGUCGCUACAAUCUAAAAGAGUGCUGCUAAUUUACCAACACUUAUUUAAGCAUUUAGCAACCGCCGAAACUCUAUCUCGUUGGCUGCGGUGGCAGAGGAGGACGACAGGAAAGGCUCUUCGUCUAGAAUUUCAGUAAAUUGAGUAAAGAGAGAAGAAAAGAUUUAAUUGAUUUUUCUUUUUUUUUUCUUUUCUGUUUGUAAUCGGGCCAAAUGGACUGGAUUUGGUGGAUUGAGUAGAGUAAUCUUUUAUUUUUGGUUGGAUUGGGCUUUAUAUUUAGGCAUUAGUAGAUGUUUUUUAAAGUUUUAGCAUAAAUGGGACACUUACUCAAAAGUGUCCCAAACAUGUGUCUCUAUAACCUAAUUCUGUUGUAGUGUAUAUUAUAUAAAAAAAAAAUCUUUAAAAUAUC